RNAcentral lists this ribosomal RNA (2931 nucleotides) under Escherichia coli. RNAcentral's name for it is "23S ribosomal RNA". It matches the Rfam family "Bacterial large subunit ribosomal RNA". Lineage: Bacteria; Pseudomonadati; Pseudomonadota; Gammaproteobacteria; Enterobacterales; Enterobacteriaceae. The record is from RNAcentral.
GGGUUGUGAGGUUAAGCGACUAAGCGUACACGGUGGAUGCCCUGGCAGUCAGAGGCGAUGAAGGACGUGCUAAUCUGCGAUAAGCGUCGGUAAGGUGAUAUGAACCGUUAUAACCGGCGAUUUCCGAAUGGGGAAACCCAGUGUGUUUCGACACACUAUCAUUAACUGAAUCCAUAGGUUAAUGAGGCGAACCGGGGGAACUGAAACAUCUAAGUACCCCGAGGAAAAGAAAUCAACCGAGAUUCCCCCAGUAGCGGCGAGCGAACGGGGAGCAGCCCAGAGCCUGAAUCAGUGUGUGUGUUAGUGGAAGCGUCUGGAAAGGCGCGCGAUACAGGGUGACAGCCCCGUACACAAAAAUGCACAUACUGUGAGCUCGAUGAGUAGGGCGGGACACGUGGUAUCCUGUCUGAAUAUGGGGGGACCAUCCUCCAAGGCUAAAUACUCCUGACUGACCGAUAGUGAACCAGUACCGUGAGGGAAAGGCGAAAAGAACCCCGGCGAGGGGAGUGAAAAAGAACCUGAAACCGUGUACGUACAAGCAGUGGGAGCACGCUUAGGCGUGUGACUGCGUACCUUUUGUAUAAUGGGUCAGCGACUUAUAUUCUGUAGCAAGGUUAACCGAAUAGGGGAGCCGAAGGGAAACCGAGUCUUAACUGGGCGUUAAGUUGCAGGGUAUAGACCCGAAACCCGGUGAUCUAGCCAUGGGCAGGUUGAAGGUUGGGUAACACUAACUGGAGGACCGAACCGACUAAUGUUGAAAAAUUAGCGGAUGACUUGUGGCUGGGGGUGAAAGGCCAAUCAAACCGGGAGAUAGCUGGUUCUCCCCGAAAGCUAUUUAGGUAGCGCCUCGUGAAUUCAUCUCCGGGGGUAGAGCACUGUUUCGGCAAGGGGGUCAUCCCGACUUACCAACCCGAUGCAAACUGCGAAUACCGGAGAAUGUUAUCACGGGAGACACACGGCGGGUGCUAACGUCCGUCGUGAAGAGGGAAACAACCCAGACCGCCAGCUAAGGUCCCAAAGUCAUGGUUAAGUGGGAAACGAUGUGGGAAGGCCCAGACAGCCAGGAUGUUGGCUUAGAAGCAGCCAUCAUUUAAAGAAAGCGUAAUAGCUCACUGGUCGAGUCGGCCUGCGCGGAAGAUGUAACGGGGCUAAACCAUGCACCGAAGCUGCGGCAGCGACGCUGAUGCGUUGUUGGGUAGGGGAGCGUUCUGUAAGCCUGCGAAGGUGUGCUGUGAGGCAUGCUGGAGGUAUCAGAAGUGCGAAUGCUGACAUAAGUAACGAUAAAGCGGGUGAAAAGCCCGCUCGCCGGAAGACCAAGGGUUCCUGUCCAACGUUAAUCGGGGCAGGGUGAGUCGACCCCUAAGGCGAGGCCGAAAGGCGUAGUCGAUGGGAAACAGGUUAAUAUUCCUGUACUUGGUGUUACUGCGAAGGGGGGACGGAGAAGGCUAUGUUGGCCGGGCGACGGUUGUCCCGGUUUAAGCGUGUAGGCUGGUUUUCCAGGCAAAUCCGGAAAAUCAAGGCUGAGGCGUGAUGACGAGGCACUACGGUGCUGAAGCAACAAAUGCCCUGCUUCCAGGAAAAGCCUCUAAGCAUCAGGUAACAUCAAAUCGUACCCCAAACCGACACAGGUGGUCAGGUAGAGAAUACCAAGGCGCUUGAGAGAACUCGGGUGAAGGAACUAGGCAAAAUGGUGCCGUAACUUCGGGAGAAGGCACGCUGAUAUGUAGGUGAAGUCCCUCGCGGAUGGAGCUGAAAUCAGUCGAAGAUACCAGCUGGCUGCAACUGUUUAUUAAAAACACAGCACUGUGCAAACACGAAAGUGGACGUAUACGGUGUGACGCCUGCCCGGUGCCGGAAGGUUAAUUGAUGGGGUCAGCGCAAGCGAAGCUCUUGAUCGAAGCCCCGGUAAACGGCGGCCGUAACUAUAACGGUCCUAAGGUAGCGAAAUUCCUUGUCGGGUAAGUUCCGACCUGCACGAAUGGCGUAAUGAUGGCCAGGCUGUCUCCACCCGAGACUCAGUGAAAUUGAACUCGCUGUGAAGAUGCAGUGUACCCGCGGCAAGACGGAAAGACCCCGUGAACCUUUACUAUAGCUUGACACUGAACAUUGAGCCUUGAUGUGUAGGAUAGGUGGGAGGCUUUGAAGUGUGGACGCCAGUCUGCAUGGAGCCGACCUUGAAAUACCACCCUUUAAUGUUUGAUGUUCUAACGUUGACCCGUAAUCCGGGUUGCGGACAGUGUCUGGUGGGUAGUUUGACUGGGGCGGUCUCCUCCUAAAGAGUAACGGAGGAGCACGAAGGUUGGCUAAUCCUGGUCGGACAUCAGGAGGUUAGUGCAAUGGCAUAAGCCAGCUUGACUGCGAGCGUGACGGCGCGAGCAGGUGCGAAAGCAGGUCAUAGUGAUCCGGUGGUUCUGAAUGGAAGGGCCAUCGCUCAACGGAUAAAAGGUACUCCGGGGAUAACAGGCUGAUACCGCCCAAGAGUUCAUAUCGACGGCGGUGUUUGGCACCUCGAUGUCGGCUCAUCACAUCCUGGGGCUGAAGUAGGUCCCAAGGGUAUGGCUGUUCGCCAUUUAAAGUGGUACGCGAGCUGGGUUUAGAACGUCGUGAGACAGUUCGGUCCCUAUCUGCCGUGGGCGCUGGAGAACUGAGGGGGGCUGCUCCUAGUACGAGAGGACCGGAGUGGACGCAUCACUGGUGUUCGGGUUGUCAUGCCAAUGGCACUGCCCGGUAGCUAAAUGCGGAAGAGAUAAGUGCUGAAAGCAUCUAAGCACGAAACUUGCCCCGAGAUGAGUUCUCCCUGACUCCUUGAGAGUCCUGAAGGAACGUUGAAGACGACGACGUUGAUAGGCCGGGUGUGUAAGCGCAGCGAUGCGUUGAGCUAACCGGUACUAAUGAACCGUGAGGCUUAACCUUACAACGCCGAAGGUGUUU